This is a long non-coding RNA of Lingula anatina, 1138 nucleotides long. The record is from RefSeq and is a predicted model, not a curated record. Lineage: Eukaryota; Metazoa; Brachiopoda; Lingulata; Lingulida; Lingulidae.
AAGAAAGGAAAAGAAUUAGUGAACAGAUUAAAGCUGAUCGAAGGGAAGCUAAUACAAGGGAAGUGAAAGAAUCGCAUGCAAGACACUUUGAUUCUGACGGUGGUAUGAAGAGGUUUGAUGACAUAGGAAUAAAUCUGAAUAAGGGAGGAGGAUGAGGAUAGAAUACCUCUUAACAUCCAGACCAGAUGUUAAUCAGGGCUUAUGAGAGGAUUUUUGCACAAAAAAAAUACAGAUAAUGAAGAAAUUGGUAAAAUGUUCAGUCAAGACCAUGGGAGAACCUGAUGGAAAAUUUUUUUUUAAUUUUGUAAAUUGCCAAAGAAGGGAAGACUGUUGUGUUUUUUAUUUGUUGUUUAUUUUUUUAUCGAAGAAAUAACUUUUUUUAAUUGAUGAAAAUGAUCUCCUAUGAAAAACUUUAAUAUUGUACAGUGUUGAUUAACUUUGUUUUAAUUGUAUACCACACAUUUCUUCAGACCUGAUAGAAAUUGGAAUAUUCACCCUUAUGGCUGUGAACUUUUAUAAAAUUGAGUGUGAGUGACUCUUUACUAGGAAUAUAGUCACUCGCUGGUAUUUAGUGCUAUUAAUUCCAUCAUUUCUAUUAUUGUAGUUUUUUAAAACAAAAAAAAAUGCUAUUAAAUCCCCAUUGCCCUGAGAGACUGGUCAGAGGUUUUAGAGGUUUUAGCCUAGAAUUUAAACUGGCAAGUUUGACAGGGAGAAACUUGAAUGUUACACCGGCUUGACUAUUAUCUAUAAGAUACGGAAAAGAAUUGUGAUUGCUUAUUUUGAGUGAUGUCAAACUUUUGAUGAAGGUAACUGUUUAAAUCCUCAAAGGCAGAGCAGAAACCGGAAAGCCAGAUUUAAUAAUAAAGGCGAUUUUAUAUGUGAUAAAAAUGUAAGAAUAUGUGACAAAACUGUACUCUUCAAACAUGUAAAAAGCAGUUGGUUUCCAUUUGGACUUAGACUCCGUUCACAUGGAAAGUCUAUUUUCUAAAAAAUCUAUUUUCUAUUCGCGGUAUCUUGUAAUCACGGUCCCUGUGCCCUGAAUAUCCCGAGAAUUAAUUACAGCUUUGGAAGUAACUGGCUCGCGCCGCCAGUAUUUACGCCGCGGGUUAUUCAGGGCACAGACCGUGAUCAUAAGAUA